Molecule: ribosomal RNA, 253 nt
Filed under: uncultured bacterium
Lineage: Bacteria
Description: partial 16S ribosomal RNA
Rfam family: Bacterial small subunit ribosomal RNA
Source: RNAcentral
UACAGAGGUGCCAAGCGUUAGGCGGAAUCACUGGGCUUAAAGCGCGUGUAGGUGGACGGGUAAGUAUCUUGUGAAAUCCCACGGCUCAACCGUGGAACUGCUGGAUAUACUGCUUGUCUUGAGGCACUUAGGGGCAGCUGGAACAAAUGGUGGAGCGGUGAAAUGCGUAGAUAUCAUUUGGAACGCCAAUGGUGAAAACAGGUAGCUGGGGCUGUGCUGACACUGAGACACGAAAGCCAGGGGAGCGAACGGG